GUGGGGAAUCUUAGACAAUGGGGGAAACCCUGAUCUAGCCAUGCCGCGUGAGCGAUGAAGGCCUUAGGGUUGUAAAGCUCUUUCAGCUGGGAAGAUAAUGACGGUACCAGCAGAAGAAGCCCCGGCUAACUCCGUGCCAGCAGCCGCGGUAAUACGGAGGGGGCUAGCGUUGUUCGGAAUUACUGGGCGUAAAGCGCACGUAGGCGGAUCAGAAAGUCAGAGGUGAAAUCCCAGGGCUCAACCUUGGAACUGCCUUUGCAACUCCUGGUCUUGAGGUCGAGAGAGGUGAGUGGAAUUCCGAGUGUAGAGGUGAAAUUCGUAGAUAUUCGGAGGAACACCAGUGGCGAAGGCGGCUCACUGGCUCGAUACUGACGCUGAGGUGCGAAAGCGUGGGGAGCAAACAGGAUUAGAUACCCGGGUAGUCC
Molecule: ribosomal RNA, 425 nt
Filed under: uncultured bacterium
Lineage: Bacteria
Description: partial 16S ribosomal RNA
Rfam family: Bacterial small subunit ribosomal RNA
Source: RNAcentral